Long non-coding RNA from Nanorana parkeri, 365 nucleotides. RefSeq lists it as uncharacterized. The record is from RefSeq and is a predicted model, not a curated record. The transcript has 2 exons. NCBI's taxonomy places the organism in Eukaryota, Metazoa, Chordata, Amphibia, Anura, Dicroglossidae.
AGCUGCUCGAACUUUAAAUGUCUCCAAGCAAGAUAAAUAUACCCAGACCGAAUUUGUAAGCCAUGAAGUAAUCAACAAUGUCCAGAGGAACACCGCAAGUACGGAGGGCUCUAUCUACAAAGCUAUAAGACCUGUUCAUUGUUUCCAGCAUUAUCAGUUUAAACCCAACAUCUGGACACAAGACGCUUUACACUAAUGUAUUCAAUUAGGUUUCAUUAAAAUGUAAUAAGCUGCGGUUUCAGAAACAAUUAAUGUAUUCACAAAUGAUGCUGCUAAACUGCAGUUUUGCAUUAUCACAAAUGAAAAUACUCCUUUUUUGAUGUUGCUGUACAGAUCUAUUUUCAUUGCAGGGACUUUAAUAACAA